Long non-coding RNA from Aedes aegypti (yellow fever mosquito), 377 nucleotides. RefSeq lists it as uncharacterized. The transcript has 2 exons. Lineage: Eukaryota; Metazoa; Arthropoda; Insecta; Diptera; Culicidae. The record is from RefSeq and is a predicted model, not a curated record.
GAUGAGAUAUUCCUGUAUCUCCGAGUGGUGAUAGUUUUCAUCCAGGUCCAUUAUUGAGAUUUGCAGAGAUUUUUAGACUUUCGGUCAAAUCUGAGAAGACGUCAAAAAAUAUUGUCACAGCCUGUUGAUGACAUUUCAUGUCAGUAUCGUCGUGAUCAUUCGUUCGACUUGUUUUGCUUAGUUACGAUCACAAGUUAAUUUUACUACUAAACAACUACCUGAACACAUUCAACUCCUUGAGAUGGCAGAGAUUAUUACGGAAGUAACACGUCGAAGAGCAUCAAAAAACACCAACCACGCUUUAUAUGGGUAUUAUUUCCUCGGCCUACGGAAGCUGAGCUGUCCAGAUUAUAAGCACAAAUCCACUGUUCAUAAAU